GGCGACGUAGCCAAGUGGCAAGGCAGCUGUCUGCAAAACAGCUAUUCAGCGGUUCGAAUCCGCUCGUCGCCUCAA
Molecule: transfer RNA, 75 nt
Filed under: Candidatus Omnitrophota bacterium
Lineage: Bacteria; Pseudomonadati; Candidatus Omnitrophota
Description: Candidatus Omnitrophica bacterium tRNA-Cys
Rfam family: tRNA
About the family: Transfer RNA (tRNA) molecules are approximately 80 nucleotides in length. Their secondary structure includes four short double-helical elements and three loops (D, anti-codon, and T loops).
Source: RNAcentral